RNAcentral lists this non-coding RNA (247 nucleotides) under uncultured Anaerostipes sp. RNAcentral describes it as "Enterococcus sRNA 1300". It matches the Rfam family "Enterococcus sRNA 1300". Rfam says of the family: Expressed in mid and late exponential phases of growth. Expression remained uniform under daptomycin exposure. The record is from RNAcentral. Lineage: Bacteria; Bacillati; Bacillota; Clostridia; Lachnospirales; Lachnospiraceae.
ACAGCCUCAAUGCGUUUAAGAUAAGCUGGCAAUAAAAAAAGCAGAAUCUAUCCCCGAUGAUAGGCUUUUUUUCUUGUGCUUAUUUAUACGAUAUUGAGCAUUCAUUAGUUACGGUGAGAUAUAAGUUAUUUAACUAUACCUUUAUUUAACUAUACCUUUAUUUAACUAUGUCUUUAAUAUGAAUGUUUCCAAAUUGUAUGUAUGCAGACCAAAAGCCACAUUGUGGAUUUUGGCCUGCAUUUUUUAU